Molecule: ribosomal RNA, 253 nt
Filed under: uncultured bacterium
Lineage: Bacteria
Description: partial 16S ribosomal RNA
Rfam family: Bacterial small subunit ribosomal RNA
Source: RNAcentral
UACGUAGGGUGCUAGCGUUGUCCGGAUUUAUUGGGCGUAAAGGGCGCGUAGGCGGUAUGGCAAGUGGAAGGUGAAAUCCCUCGGCUUAACCGAGGAACUGCCCUCCAAACUGCUUUACUUGAGGCCGGGAGAGGUGAGUGGAAUUCCCAGUGUAGCGGUGAAAUGCGCAGAUAUCAGGAGGAACACCGGUGGCGAAGGCGGGUCUCUGGGCAACAACUGACGCUGAGGAGCGAAAGCGUGGGGAGCGAACAGG